CAGAGGUACCAUACCACCCUGAACGCGUCUGAUCUCGUCUGAUCUGACGAAGCUAAGCAGGAUCGGGCCUGGUUAGUACUUGGAAUGGAGACGUACUAUAAUCUAGCUAUUUUACACC
Camelus ferus (Wild Bactrian camel) is the source of this 118-nucleotide non-coding RNA. Lineage: Eukaryota; Metazoa; Chordata; Mammalia; Artiodactyla; Camelidae. The record is from Rfam.